AUUGAUAAUUAGAAAUUUUGGUAAGGCAUUUAAAAAGUCAAUAUAGAACCACAUUGUUUUUAAAUGCCUUAACAAAAUUUCUAAUUAUCAA
This is a non-coding RNA of Xyrichtys novacula (pearly razorfish), 91 nucleotides long. NCBI's taxonomy places the organism in Eukaryota, Metazoa, Chordata, Actinopteri, Labriformes, Labridae. The record is from the annotation of a GenBank genome assembly.